GACGAACGCUGGCGGCGUGCUUAACACAUGCAAGUCGAACGGAAAGGCCCUGCUUUUGUGGGGUGCUCGAGUGGCGAACGGGUGAGUAACACGUGAGUAACCUGCCCUUGACUUUGGGAUAACUUCAGGAAACUGGGGCUAAUACCGGAUAGGAGCUCCUGCUGCAUGGUGGGGGUUGGAAAGUUUCGGCGGGUGGGGAUGGACUCGCGGCUUAUCAGCUUGUUGGUGGGGGAGUGGCUUACCAAGGCUUUGACGGGUAGCCGGCCUGAGAGGGUGACCGGCCACAUUGGGACUGAGAUACGGCCCAGACUCCUACGGGAGGCAGCAGUGGGGAAUAUUGCACAAUGGGCGGAGGCCUGAUGCAGCAACGCCGCGUGCGGGAUGACGGCCUUCGGGUUGUAAACCGCUUUCGCCUGUGACGAAGCGUGAGUGACGGUAAUGGGUAAAGAAGCACCGGCUAACUACGU
RNAcentral lists this ribosomal RNA (467 nucleotides) under uncultured bacterium. RNAcentral's name for it is "partial 16S ribosomal RNA". It matches the Rfam family "Bacterial small subunit ribosomal RNA", at positions 28 to 506 of the family's 1533-position model. The record is from RNAcentral.